RNAcentral lists this ribosomal RNA (138 nucleotides) under uncultured bacterium. Its description in RNAcentral is "partial 16S rRNA". It matches the Rfam family "Eukaryotic small subunit ribosomal RNA", at positions 432 to 570 of the family's 1831-position model. The record is from RNAcentral.
GCGCGUAAAUUACCAAUCCUGACAUGGGGAGGUAGUGACAAUAAAUAACAAUACCGAGUGUGUUAGUGUCUGGUAAUUGGAAUGAGUACAAUCUAAAUCCCUUAACAAAGAUCCAUUGGAGGGCAAGUUUGAUGCCAG